Molecule: RNA transcript, 1576 nt
Organism: Aedes albopictus (Asian tiger mosquito)
Lineage: Eukaryota; Metazoa; Arthropoda; Insecta; Diptera; Culicidae
Gene name: farnesol dehydrogenase
Exons: 3
Source: RefSeq, a predicted model, not a curated record
UUUUUGCAAUCAAAGCCUAGUCGCAAUCGAGCGAGCAGCACAAUCGCAUCACGUUAUCUUACAAUAUCUUCGGAAAUCGGAAAUGGAUCGUUGGGCAGGAAAAGUGGCCGUUGUGACCGGAGCAAGUUCCGGCAUUGGAGCCGGUAUCGCAAAGGAUUUGGCCAAGGCCGGAAUGGUGGUCGUUGGCCUGGCACGCCGAGUGGAACGUGUUGAAGCGUUAAAAGCGGAUUUACCGGAAUCAGCUAGAAGUCGGCUACAUGCGGUUAAGUGCGACGUGUCCAAGGAGGAGAACAUCCAACAGGUGUUCCAAUGGGUGGAGAAGAAGUUCGGGGGAGUUGACGUGUUGAUCAACAAUGCCGGAAUCCUGCGGCAAACGGACCUGUUGGAGGCCGGGAAUGCUCAAAUAUUGCGUGACACGUUGGAUGUCAAUGUGGUAGGGCUGGUGCUGUGCAGUCAGAUCGCUUAUCAAUCGAUGAAGAAGCGCUCGGUCGAUGGCCAUAUUGUGCAUAUCAAUAGUGUUGUCGGUCACAAAGUGGUCGAUUUUCCGCAAUUUAACGUCUAUCCUGCAACGAAGCACGCAGUCACAGCCAUCACGGAAACGAUGAGAAACGAAAUGAGGAAUGCCGGAUCCAAAAUUAAGGUUACGAGCAUUAGUCCAGGUGCGGUUAGCACCGAAAUCAUACCGGAUGCAAUGCUAGGAGCAGGCCAUCCAAUGUUGGAAGCGGAGGACAUUUCAGAAGCUGUACUGUACGUUCUUGGAACACCUCCACGGGUACAAGUUCAUGAAUUGAUCAUUAAACCAGUUGGCGAAAAAUUUUAGUUACUGAAUCGAUGUGCUGUGUUGAUGUUGUUGUGGAAUCGAGUUACGUUACAUCAAAUCAUAGAAAUCAGCUGUCAACUCCUCCUCUUCUUGGCGUAAGUUCCUUUUGGAAUUACAGCAGGAUCCAUUGGAAGAACACAAGAAGAAUCAAGUCCAGGAGAAAUCCCAAAAAUAACUCCUUGAGAAAUAUUAGAAGGACCAUCUGGAGCCUGGAGGUAUUCCAGAAAAAACUGAAGGAAAACCACAAGGUGUCCCUUAAACAAUCCAGCGGUAAAUCCAGGAGAAAUUUCAGAGAAAAAAACCGCACAAACCCCUAAAAGAGUUUCUUGAGGAAUCUAUGAAAGAUCUUCUGAAAGAAUCAGAAGAUCCUUUUAGAGAAAACACAGGAAAAGAACAUUCACACCUCAUCCUACCUUACUAACAAAUCUUCCUUCUCGCAUUGGCGUAGCUAGAGAGGGGGCCUGGGGGGCCAGCCCCCCCAGAAUCCACUGCCCCCCCCCCCAGAAAUUUGUCAUGACUUUAUAUAUGGAAAUUAGAAAAAAUCUGAAAGCCAUUGUGUUAAUGAUAAACAUAGAUCUAUAAAAGAUAUUGAUUUGGCAUAAUAUGCGUUUAAAUUGGUAGUUAUUGGAGACUAUUUUCAACUUGUCACACUUUACAAGAUCAUUGUCCCAUUUAGACUAUGUGAUUGACUCUAUUAGCUUUGUUUGGAAAUAUGAUAGCAGAAAUAUGAAUUAGAAUUACAUAUAUAAAUAGCAA